CCCUUAGAUGUUCUGGGCCGCACGCGUGCUACACUGAGUAAAUCAAUGGGUAAGGGAACACGAAAGUGCAACCUAAUCUUCAAAUUUGCUCGUGAUGGGGAUCGACGGUUGCAAUUUUCCGUCGUGAACGAGGAAUACCUUGUAGGCGCGUGUCAUCAUCACGCGCCGAAUACGUCCCUGCCCUUUGUACACACCGCCCGUCGCUCCUACCGAUUGGGUGUGCUGGUGAAAUGUUCGGAUCGGCCGUUUGUCGCGGUUUCCGCGGCUCGUGGCUGAGAAGUUCAUUAAACCCUCCCACCUAGAGGAAGGAGAAGUCGUAACA
RNAcentral lists this ribosomal RNA (322 nucleotides) under uncultured eukaryote. RNAcentral describes it as "partial 18S ribosomal RNA". It matches the Rfam family "Eukaryotic small subunit ribosomal RNA", at positions 1470 to 1796 of the family's 1831-position model. The record is from RNAcentral.